UCACCUCGACCCGACUGCAGACAAAAACCUGAGAGAGGAGAGAGAUCAGUCAUUCAGUCACACACACCUGCUCACACACACACACACUCUCACACACACCUGCUCGCGCUGGAUGAACAGACAAAUAUGCACACAAUGAAGAGCAUUCUUAAACAUAAAACGCUGAAGAAAAACCCUCUGGUCGGUGUGGAGACUCAGAGUAGCACUAUAGGAAUAGUGCGCUGGACUCUUCCAGAGGAAUCAGUGCAGAGUCACAACACAGCCCCCUCACCAUCCCGCAAAACCAGCGCCGUCUGCUCCACACGCUCACAGCCAAAACAGAGGCAGCAGAGUCUGAAGGAUCUCCGCAGCCUUCAGGAGUGUAUUCAGUUCCUCAACCGCUGGAAGCUACAGGUGGCAGAAGUGUGUAAGAAGGAUAACAGUGCUGGGGAAGGAUGCAGUACGUGGGUCGGUGGUGCAGCAGAGAGAUGGGAAGACCCCCGGACCGAGCGCAGUCUGGAGGAGAGCCGUAAACUCAUCCUGCAGUGGGCUGAUGAACUCAACAGCGUCGACAGGUUGUGUAAAGACAGUAGAUGGAUGAAGCAGAGGUUUGAGCACAGUGAGGAAGAUGAGCAGCAGAAGAAGGAGGAUGAUGAUGGUGAAGUGCUGGAGGAGAGGCUGAUGGAAUGGGCCAGAGAGCUGCAGAGUGUAUCAGAGAGCUGUGGAGUGCUGGGAGAGGAGCUGGGCAAGACUCUUCGUCUGCUCGGCCUGAGGAAGAAGAGGCUGAUGACUUUAAUGCCCCUGCUGGAGUUCAUCACCUGGUCUUUACUGAAAGACGACAAAAAGGAUGUGAUUUCUCAGCUGUGGCUUUCGGCUAAGCAGCGCUCCUGGCAAGCAGGUGAGAAAUAUGAAGCUUAUUUCAUUUACAACUAUAUAAAAUGCUUUUAUACAGAAAAUAUUUUUUUUCUAAAAAUAUAUAUUGCAAUGUGUGUAUAUACUGUAUAUCGUUGCUGUCCUAUAAAAAACACUGUUUUUUAUGUUUUUGUAUCUCGAUUUUUAGUUUACUACAUAAUUUGAAAAGACAAACUGUCCCUCACACUGUGCCAAAAUUUCUUGGUGAACGGACCAAUAGAAACUCUUCAAAAUGACCUGAAAUGAACUCUUUUUACAUUGACUUACCUUGAAAGUUUACAAGGUUUUUUCUCUCUCCUGUAAAGUUGCUGUUUUGGAGAUAAGUGUUUUUCACUGGACAGCGAUGAUAU
RNAcentral lists this long non-coding RNA (1241 nucleotides) under Astyanax mexicanus (Mexican tetra). RNAcentral describes it as "lncRNA (ENSAMXG00005017359.1)". The record is from RNAcentral. Lineage: Eukaryota; Metazoa; Chordata; Actinopteri; Characiformes; Acestrorhamphidae.